This 292-nucleotide ribosomal RNA is filed under the name uncultured bacterium. Its description in RNAcentral is "partial 16S ribosomal RNA". The record is from RNAcentral.
GGACUACCGGGGUAUCUAAUCCUGUUCGCUACCCACGCUUUCGCGCUUCAGUGUCAGUAUUAUGCCAGGUGCCUGCCUUCGCCAUCGACGUUCCUUCCGAUCUCUACGCAUUUCACCGCUACACCGGAAAUUCCGACACCCUCUCAUAUACUCCAGUCACAACGUUUGCGAUGCGCUUCCUAGGUUAAGCCCAGGGCUUUCACAUCACACUCUUGUAACCACCUACGCGCCCUUUACGCCCAGUAACUCCGAUUAACGCUUGCACCCUCUGUAUUACCGCGGCUGCUGGCAC